CCCCCCCAACCCCCUUCUCCCCCGCAGCAAUUCUGUGGAAAAGGCACCAGAGCAGUGUUGUAGGCCAGGCCAGCUUGAAGGAGGAGCAGCUUGUCUGGCAUUGCAGUGGCUGUGAAUGAGGCUACGAGGGGAAGGAUGCCCUGACAGGCAUAUCCUGGCUGUUGGUGUGGGACCCACUGCAUUUCCAGGGCACUCAGGCCGGCCUUUCAAGGCAGGCAGCUGGUCUGUGUGUGGCCCUUAUGCCUCAGCGGUGACAGACCAGUAUUCGCAUGGGGUGCAGGAGGGGGCAGUCAGCUCAGAAGGAGCUCCGGGCAAAUUUAUGUCUCAAUACAUGCAGAGAUUAGCGCAGGGAACACUAGGAUGUGAGCCCACAAUGUACUUCCCUUCAGGAGUGAGUACUCAGGUGCAUGCCGUUCCCUGGAAGGUGACAUGAGGGUGCUUUAGAGCACCUGAUGUGCUGUGAACACAUGCUUGUUCUUCAAGGUAACUUGUUCACUGUCUCAUAAAAAGGCAUAUAUUGCCUGUCCCGUCUGCCACUUUCAGAGCAGAGAGGAGACCUGGCGAUGAAAGCAUGUUCUAGACCUUCCUCUGGUGUGGAAAGGCACAGGCCUGGCGUGAAUGUCCGGUAGGAGUAUGGUGGGAACAAGCUAUAUUGGGUAUCCAGUGGUCUUAUCUGAACUAUUGUUUCUUUACAGUCAGCACUCACAGCUGCCAGAUCAGCUGCACCAAUGCAGUGUUACACUGUACAGUGGAUGUCAGGAUGCCUUCUUGCCUGAAAAAGACUUUCUCACCCCAAACAGCAGUCGUCGUAUUCUGCAAGCGCGCAUGGUAUAUACGUAUUUCUGCAGCAGAAGUUACAGGAUGGCCAGAAUCAAACCACAACCUCCAGUAUCAACAUGCAGCACAGAGAAGGUUGGAGGAAAGAAGAAUUUCUCACCAAGUGCAAAACUGCAGAGUUUCAGAGCAAGGUAUGAAAAAGGAAAGAAGAAAACCUGGUUCUCUCUCUCGUCCUCUAGCCACUAGACAAUGCUCAGUCCCUAACAACCAGUUGAAGAUUACAAGCCUGAACAGAUUUAAUCCCAAGCAAAUCUCAAUGUGUCCAUCAUGCUCUGGGGUCCCUGAAAGGAAGCUGGGGUUCCUGAUGAAGCUGGGCUGGGUGCCAUGCUGCCAACAUGGGGGAGUUUUUCAUUUCUUGGAGUGUGGCCAAUAACCUGCAGCAAGAAAACAGGACGGGGACUUUCACACCAAAAGCAAGAUGCCAAGACCAAAACCAUCUGUCUGCACGUCUUCCUCUCUGCCUCUGUUCUUGGGGGAUAGCUGGAACAUGCCUGCGAGUGGAACCUAUGGCACUGAGGCUGGGAGCAUGAAUCUUGCUUCACGGGGAGCUCAGAGUGUUAAUCUUGGCACAUGCAUCCUGGUCCUGCUGCAUUUAGAGACUGGGAAUAUGACUACUGGCAUGACUGCCCUAGCGCCUGCAUGCUGAUACAUCGCAGCAGAGGAACGCAGCCCGAAACCCACGCUCUUCUGUGUGUAUCCUGCUACGCUCUGUACACACGCAGCUGUCGGGGUCUGGCACGGCACGGUCUCCUCUGGGCAGCCACAUGGAUAUGGAAAAUUCUCGGAGCUCCAAGCUGCGAAGAACUAAGUGUGUCUCCCUGCUCGCUUCUCUCACCCAUGAUCCUUGACGCUCAGGUCCAAGCUGUGCUCCUGCAAGGAGUCCUGAGUGGCAGCAGAUGAUGAUCCCAUGGUUUCUACAGGCUCCUGCUUCACCUGAACUGGAUUGAACCGUCCGGGAGCUGUUGGUUGUCCAUUCCCUGUUGAGAAAGACAAAAUGAAAUGCAAAAAUGAUACGAAAAACGUAGGUAUAAAAUAAGGUUACAAUGGCAAAUAAAAAAGUUAAAUCAC
Dromaius novaehollandiae (emu) is the source of this 1905-nucleotide long non-coding RNA. RefSeq lists it as uncharacterized. NCBI's taxonomy places the organism in Eukaryota, Metazoa, Chordata, Aves, Casuariiformes, Dromaiidae. The transcript is spliced from 6 exons. The record is from RefSeq and is a predicted model, not a curated record.